CAAAGACCCUACGAAGACCCCACAGCACCCAAUGGUGCUCAAAGCCUACCUAGAUGGACCCCAAAGACCCUACGAAGACCCUACGAAGACCCCACGAAGACCCCACAGCACCCAAGGGUGCCCGAAGCUUACCUAGAUGGACCCCAAAGACCCUAUGAAGACCCCAGAGCACCCAAGGGUGCUCAAAGCCUACCUAGACAGACCAACAAAACCACACGAAGCCCAACCCGUCCUUGACCUACCUCAACCCAACCGCGCAAAAUCCCCCAAACACCCCGGUGGGAGGCGCCCCAGUGGGAGACACCCCCCCCCGCACCCUUGGGUGCCCUCACCCUUCUCGCAGGCCAGGUGGGCAAGCAGGGAGAUGGUCUGGGUGGCUCUGCCCAACCCCAAGGGUGCUCAAGGAGCACCGACACAGGUCCCAAAGACCCUAUGAAGACCCCACAGCACCCAAGGGUGCUCGAAGCCUACCUAGAUGGACAUCCCAAAGACCCUACGAAGACCCUACGAAGACCCCACGAAGACCCCACAGCACCCAAGGGUGCCCGAAGCUUACCUAGAUGGACUCCAAAGACCCUAUGAAGACCCUAUAAAGACCCCAGAGCACCCAAGGGUGCUUGAAGCCUACCUAGAUGGACCCCAAAGACCCUAUGAAGACCCCAGAGCACCCAAGGGUGCUCAAAGCCUACCUAGACAGACCCCUAAACCACACGAAGCCCAACCCGUCCUUGACCUACCUCAACCCAACCCCGCGAAAUCCCCCAAACGCCCCGGUGGGAGGCGCCCCGGUGGGAGACGCCCCCCCCUGCACCCUUGGGUGCCCCUCACCCUUCUCGCAGGCCAGGUGGGCGAGCAGGGAGAUGGUCUGGGUGGCUCUGCCCAACCCCAAGGGUGCUCAAGGAGCACCGACACAGGUCCUGAAGACCCUAUGAAGACCCCACAGCACCCAAGGGUGCUCGAAGCCUACCUAGAUGGACCCCAAAGACCCUAUGAAGACCCUAUGAAGACCCUAUGAAGACCCCACAGCACCCAAGGGUGCUCAAAGUGUACCUAGAUGGGCCCCAAAGACCCUAUGAAGACCCUACGAAGACCCCAGAGCACCCAAGGGUGCUCAAAGUGUACCUAGAUGGACACCAAAAACCCUAUGAAGGCCCUACGAAGACCCCAAAGCACCCAAGGGUGCUCAAAGCCCACCUAGAUGGACCCCAAAGACCCUACGAAGACCCUACGAAGACCCCACAGCACCCAAGGGUGCUCAAAGUGUACCUAGAUGGACCCCAAAGACCCUACGAAGACCCUACGAAGACCCCACAGCACCCAAUGGUGCUCAAAGACUACCUAGAUAGAUUCUGAAGACCCUACGAAGACCCUAUAAAGACCCCAGAGCACCCAAGGGUGCUCAAAGCCUACCUAGAUGGGCCCCCAAGACCCUAUGAAGACCCCACGAAGACCCCAGAGCACCCAAGGGUGCUCAAAGCCUACCUAGACAGACCCUAGAGCCCCUACAAAGCCCAACCCGUCCUUGACCUACCUCAACCCAACCCCGCAAAAUCCCCGAAACACCCCGGUGGGAGGCGCCCCCCCCCCUGCACCCUUGGGUGCCCCUCACCCUUCUCGCAGGCCAGGUGGGCGAGCAGGGAGAUGGUCUGG
This 1650-nucleotide long non-coding RNA is filed under the name Anser cygnoides (Swan goose). RNAcentral describes it as "lncRNA (ENSACDG00005007880.1)". The record is from RNAcentral. Lineage: Eukaryota; Metazoa; Chordata; Aves; Anseriformes; Anatidae.